This 379-nucleotide unclassified non-coding RNA is filed under the name uncultured bacterium. Its description in RNAcentral is "contains 16S-23S intergenic spacer region". The record is from RNAcentral.
UCCGGUUUGGCACCGGCAGUCUUCCUAGAGUCCCCGCCAUUACGCGCUGGCAACUAAGAACAGGGGUUGCGCUCGUUGCGGGACUUAACCCAACAUCUCACGACACGAGCUGACGACGGCCAUGCAGCACCUGUCACUUGGCUCCCGAGGGCACCCUCUAAUUUCUUAAAGAUUCCAAGGAUGUCAAGCCUGGGUAAGGUUCUUCGCGUAUCGUCAAAUUAAACCACAUCAUCCACCGCUUGUGCGGGUCCCCGUCAAUUCCUUUGAGUUUUAGCCUUGCGGCCGUACUUCCCAGGCGGCAUACUUAUCGCGUUAGCUGCGUUUCGCAGGGGGUCGAUACCCCACAAAACUAGUAUGCAUCGUUUACGGCGUGGACUAC